AAAGCCGCUGCACGCUCCGCCUGUCCUCGUUCCUCCGCCGCUCCUCAGGCCUGCUCACAGGAGCUCAAUAAAAAUGAAAGUGGCUGUCAGACGGUCCAAAAUGAUGAUGAAGACUUCAGAACAUCAUCAGACGCUCUGCUGGUCCUGGGAAAGUCAAGAGACACGAAGCAACCGCUGGAGCUGAAGGUUCACUUGCAUUGGGUUGACUUCACACUCGGCAACACCCAGAGCAGGUUUGUGAUCACACUAUCCAUAGAUGGAUCCAUAUUACAGAAAUGAGACUGCGCUUCAGUCCCAAAGGCCAAGUGAAGAACCAAAUGGCAGUACAUGAAGCGCUGUCUGGCCAGUGGCAGUAAAAAGGGGCCAUGUGAAGACAUGCGACGCCUUUCUCAGCCGUCAUGCCUUGUGUUGGUCUGAACUGGGGUUGUGACGUUCCUGAGCACAAGAUGGCACACGAGCAUGGUGUGCUUCACUCUGCCGUCUGUCUGAACAGAAGAGAUGAGCUCAACUGAGGGAAGAGCUGGCUGAGCCUGACCUUGGAAUUCAUCGGAGUCCUGACUGUCAGAAGCAAGGGUCACAGCAAAAGCAUAACUUUACUCUGAAAUGCUGUGCUUUGUUUGGACAGUGACCUGAGACGCUGUGGAUAAGAACAUAAACAUGUCUGUUUGAUAUCAAUAAAUGAAUACUAAAAU
This is a long non-coding RNA of Larimichthys crocea (large yellow croaker), 692 nucleotides long. RefSeq lists it as uncharacterized. The transcript is spliced from 14 exons. The record is from RefSeq and is a predicted model, not a curated record. Lineage: Eukaryota; Metazoa; Chordata; Actinopteri; Sciaenidae.